CUGCGGAAGGAUCAUUGUCGAAGCCUACAAAACGAAA
Molecule: ribosomal RNA, 37 nt
Filed under: Blumea balsamifera
Lineage: Eukaryota; Viridiplantae; Streptophyta; Magnoliopsida; Asterales; Asteraceae
Description: partial 18S ribosomal RNA
Source: RNAcentral